RNAcentral lists this small RNA (189 nucleotides) under Mycoplasmoides pneumoniae M129. Its description in RNAcentral is "Mycoplasma pneumoniae M129 ncRNA". The record is from RNAcentral. Lineage: Bacteria; Bacillati; Mycoplasmatota; Mycoplasmoidales; Mycoplasmoidaceae.
AAUUAAAGGAGGAACCUAAAGAAUAAAAAGGAGAAGUUUUGAUAAAAAGAUAUUGUGAUAAACGGCGGAUAAGUUUCUAAGAAUAAAAACUGUAAUCUUUUGGAAAGAAAAAGGAAAAGUUUUUUAGAAACAAAUGAGAGUCCCUAAACAAAUUUAACAGAAAUUUAAAGUAACUAAGGGGAUAGUUUU